UACGAAGGGGGCGAGCGUUGUUCGGAUUUACUGGGCGUAAAGGGCGCGUAGGCGGCCCGUUUUGUCAGGCGUGAAAGCCCUGGGCUCAACCUGGGAACUGCGCUUGAUACGGCAGAGCUAGAGGAUGGAAGAGGCUCGCGGAAUUCCCAGUGUAGAGGUGAAAUUCGUAGAUAUUGGGGAAGAACACCGGUGGCGAAGGCGGCGAGCUGGUCCAUUACUGACGCUGAGGCGCGACAGCGUGGGGAGCAAACAGG
Molecule: ribosomal RNA, 254 nt
Filed under: uncultured bacterium
Lineage: Bacteria
Description: partial 16S ribosomal RNA
Rfam family: Bacterial small subunit ribosomal RNA
Source: RNAcentral